This 368-nucleotide unclassified non-coding RNA is filed under the name uncultured Glomus. Its description in RNAcentral is "SSU rRNA". It matches the Rfam family "Eukaryotic small subunit ribosomal RNA", at positions 569 to 943 of the family's 1831-position model. Lineage: Eukaryota; Fungi; Glomeromycota; Glomeromycetes; Glomerales; Glomeraceae. The record is from RNAcentral.
AGCAGCCGCGGUAAUUCCAGCUCCAAUAGCGUAUAUUAAGGUUGUUGCAGUUAAAAGCUCGUAGUUGAAUUUCGGGAUCAAUUUAUCGGUCGUGCCAAUGGUAUGAACUGGUACAAUUGGUUUCUCCCUUCUGACGAAGCAUGAUGCCAUUAAUUUGGUGUCGUGGGGAAUCAGGACUGUUACUUUGAAAAAUUAGAGUGUUUAAAGCAAGCAUUAGCUUGAAUACAUUAGCAUGGAAUAAUGAAAUAGGACGUUUGAUCCUAUUUCGUUGGUUUCUAGGAUCGACGUAAUGAUUAAUAGGGAUAGUUGGGGGCAUUAGUAUUCAAUUGUCAGAGGUGAAAUUCUUGGAUUUAUUGAAGACUAACUAC